GACGAACGCUGGCGGCGUGCUUAACACAUGCAAGUCGAACGGAAAGGCCUGCUUUCCCUUGUGGAUUGCGGGUACUCGAGUGGCGAACGGGUGAGUAACACGUGAGUGAUCUGCCCCCAACUUGGGUAUAAGCCUGGGAAACUGGGUCUAAUUCCCGAUAGGACUGCAGGGUGGUGCCUGUGGUGGAAAACGAUUUUCUAGUGGUUGGGGAUGAGCUCGCGGCCUAUCAGCUUGUUGGUGGGGUAAUGGCCUACCAAGGCGGCGACGGGUAGCCGGCCUGAGAGGGUGGACGGCCACAUUGGGACUGAGAUACGGCCCAGACUCCUACGGGAGGCAGCAGUGGGGAAUAUUGCGCAAUGGGCGGAAGCCUGAUGCAGCGACGCCGCGUGGGGGAUGACGGCCUUCGGGUUGUAAACUCCUUUCGACCGCGAGGAAGCCACCUGGUUGGAAGGGUGGUGACGGUAGUGGUAGAAGAAGCACCGGCUAACUACGUG
RNAcentral lists this ribosomal RNA (494 nucleotides) under uncultured bacterium. Its description in RNAcentral is "partial 16S ribosomal RNA". It matches the Rfam family "Bacterial small subunit ribosomal RNA", at positions 28 to 507 of the family's 1533-position model. The record is from RNAcentral.